GAAUAGAUUUCUCUGCAAACCUCCCCUCCUGAAUCACUAUGUUUUAUUAUUAUUUCACCACCCAAAGGAAAGAAAACCCCUUGAUUUUUAAUAUUCUGACUUUGGAAUACCUCCUGGUAUGGCUGGACAACAUUUGAGAGUAGCCAAGGAGANGCCAUCUGGUUCCUGCACUGAUGAUUAAUGACUGCCAUAGACUACAGGCUCCUGGAUGGCUUCCUGAUUAUUCAGCAUAUGCCCAUGUGGUAUGUGGAGAACACACGCUGGCUCCAGCCACUUGAAAACAAGGCUCUGAGUCAUCCAGCAAAGCUGUUCUCCUUCCACUUUCAAAAGGGAGUCAUCCUGCAACUGACAAAUGCUUCAUGCUUCCAAUCUGGAAUGCUUGCUUUCUUCUCCUCAAGAAAUGUAUGUAUUUAUGCCUAACCUUUCACUCUUUUAUUAACUAACAUCAUUCAAUUAUCACACAGUGAUUCCCCCCUGCAAUAUAAUAGUUCAAGAUGUUUUUACUUGGACCUUGAAUUAAAAAU
RNAcentral lists this long non-coding RNA (524 nucleotides) under Salvator merianae (Argentine black and white tegu). RNAcentral describes it as "lncRNA (ENSSMRG00000023275.1)". Lineage: Eukaryota; Metazoa; Chordata; Lepidosauria; Squamata; Teiidae. The record is from RNAcentral.